GACUCUGACUCAGUUGAGUUAAGAUAAAUAGAGUGUACAUUAAAAACAGGAAAAUAAAAAAAAUGUCAUCAUAUUCAGAUUCUCCACCUCCUCCUUCUUCUAUUGCUCCCGCUCCCACUCCCACACCAGACACCACUGUUUCUCCUUCAAUACCCACAACAACAACAACAACAACAACAACGUUGUUAGCUGAAGAGAAUCCCAGUACAACACUAGUACUACAACAACAAGUGCCAACACUGACAUGGCCCGACAACAGCGAGCUGGAUCUAGGUUGGAUCGAGAAUCUGAUAUCGACCUUUGACUGGUCUUCCAAGAAUAUUCCUCCCUCGGAAUUCCCGUCGAUUCUUCCAGUUCAUGUCUUCGAUUCUCUGAUUCUCACCGCCUCCAAGAUCCUCCACAAGGAGCCUAACUGUCUCAGAAUCGACCCGGACGACUCCAGCACUGUCGUUGUGGUCGGCGACGUUCACGGUCAAUUGCACGAUCUUAUUUUUCUCUUGAACGACGCUGGUUUUCCUUCUCAAAAUCGAUUCUUUGUGUUCAAUGGUGAUUAUGUCGAUCGAGGAGCUUGGGGCCUCGAGACUUUCCUUCUCUUGUUGGCCUGGAAGGUCUUUAUGCCACAUAGAGUAUUUCUUCUCCGUGGAAAUCAUGAAUCCAAGUAUUGCACCUCUGUUUAUGGCUUUGAGAAGGAGGUGCUGACAAAGUAUGGAGAUAAAGGUAAGCAUGUGUAUCGGAAAUGUUUGGGAUGCUUCGAAGGGCUUCCUUUGGCCACUGUUAUAGCCGGUUGUGUAUAUACCGCUCAUGGAGGGCUUUUCCGCAGCAUACCUACAACCCCAUCAAAGAGAUCAAAAGGGAAGAAGAAGAAUCGUAGACUAUCUUUCAACUCCGAGCCCAAGUCGUUAUCUCUUGGUUCUUUGGAGGAAUUAUCUAGAGCUCGAAGGUCAGUUCUUGAUCCUCCGUGGGAAGGCGUCAAUCUGAUUCCUGGUGAUGUGCUAUGGUCAGAUCCAUCAAUGACUUUUGGUCUUUCUCCAAAUAAAGAGAGAGGUAUUGGACUAUUGUGGGGUCCCGAUUGCACCGAAGACUUCCUAAAAAAGUUCAAUCUAAAGGUUAUAUCAAAAAACCCUUUUAAUCUUAAAACUGAUAUGGCUAUCUUGUGAUAUCUGUCAUUGUGGGCAUGGUUUAUUUUGACUGGCUAUCUCUAAUUAAUAAUGGAAAUCUUAGCAUAAGGAAUUAGGAAAAAAAAGAUAUCAAUUACAUGUAAGAUUAGAUUUUGAAAUUGAUCAUGUUGAUAUUCAAAAUCUAUGAGACUAUAUCUUCUCUUGUUUGCGUACAUAGAUGUUGUUUAGUAAAGAUAUUAUAAAGAUCUUAUUAUCAUUAAUGUUCUUCUUCCAUAUAAAUGUAAUGAAUUAGCUGAAAGGAUAAUCUUCAAUAGAAACCAUUUCUAUUCGGCUAUGUUUCCUUCUUCUGCUCCAGCCCUUCAAGCCUCAGGCCAAAAAGAUUGGGUUCCUCCCCCAUCUAAUUGGAUCAAGAUUAAUUCUGACGCUGCCUUCUCAGCCUCCAAUUCUGCUUUGGCUGUAGUUGCUCAUAACCAUCAUGGUGAGGUGAUCAAAGCAUGGUCCAAGUUGUGUACACUUGGCUCCCCUCUCAUCACUGAAGCUUCAGCAAUCCAGUGGGUGAUGCAGUUAGCUAUCUCUGAAAAGUGAAAACUGGAGACAUGUGAUUAUAGAAGGGGACUCUAAAAUUUGCUUUGAUUCUAUCUCUAACAAGUAUUCGUUUGUUGAUUGGUCUAUUGCUGCUCCUAUAAUUAACAUUUGUAGCUUAGUUGAGUCUUUUUCUAGUUGUGCUUUUAACUGGGUUAAUAGGAGAUGUAAUGGUGCAGCUCACACUGCAGCUGAGUUAGCUUUAGUUUCUUCCAGGCCUUUUUGUUUUAAUAACAGCAAUCUUCCAACUGUUUUACAGUGUGCUUGUAAGGAAGAUUGCCCAUCAGUUGUGUUCCUGUUUUAAGUUAUAUAUAUUGCAGUUUAUGAAAAAAAAGUAGCUGAAAGUUAAUCAUCAGAUCGCAUGAAGGCCCUGAUGCAAGGGAAAAGAGGUCUGGUUUUGGAGGAAUGGAUGUAGGAUAUACCAUAGAUCAUG
Molecule: RNA transcript, 2133 nt
Organism: Quercus lobata
Lineage: Eukaryota; Viridiplantae; Streptophyta; Magnoliopsida; Fagales; Fagaceae
Gene name: serine/threonine-protein phosphatase 7-like
Exons: 3
Source: RefSeq, a predicted model, not a curated record